This 237-nucleotide ribosomal RNA is filed under the name uncultured Staphylococcus sp. RNAcentral's name for it is "partial 16S ribosomal RNA". It matches the Rfam family "Bacterial small subunit ribosomal RNA", at positions 103 to 334 of the family's 1533-position model. Lineage: Bacteria; Bacillati; Bacillota; Bacilli; Caryophanales; Staphylococcaceae. The record is from RNAcentral.
CGGGUGAGUAACACGUGGAUAACCUACCUAUAAGACUGGGAUAACUUCGGGAAACCGGAGCUAAUACCGGAUAAUAUUUUGAACCGCAUGGUUCAAAAGUGAAAGACGGUCUUGCUGUCACUUAUAGAUGGAUCCGCGCUGCAUUAGCUAGUUGGUAAGGUAACGGCUUACCAAGGCAACGAUGCAUAGCCAACCUGAGAGGGUGAUCGGCCACACUGGAACUGAGACACGGUCCAG